This 497-nucleotide ribosomal RNA is filed under the name uncultured bacterium. Its description in RNAcentral is "partial 16S ribosomal RNA". It matches the Rfam family "Bacterial small subunit ribosomal RNA", at positions 28 to 507 of the family's 1533-position model. The record is from RNAcentral.
GAUGAACGCUGGCGGCGUGCCUAAUACAUGCAAGUCGAGCGAACAGAUAAGGAGCUUGCUCCUUUGACGUUAGCGGCGGACGGGUGAGUAACACGUGGGUAACCUACCUAUAAGACUGGAAUAACUCCGGGAAACCGGGGCUAAUGCCGGAUAACAUUUAGAACCGCAUGGUUCUAAAGUGAAAGAUGGUUUUGCUAUCACUUAUAGAUGGAUCCGCGCCGUAUUAGCUAGUUGGUAAGGUAACGGCUUACCAAGGCAACGAUGCGUAGCCGACCUGAGAGGGUGAUCGGCCACACUGGAACUGAGACACGGUCCAGACUCCUACGGGAGGCAGCAGUAGGGAAUCUUCCGCAAUGGGCGAAAGCCUGACGGAGCAACGCCGCGUGAGUGAUGAAGGUCUUCGGAUCGUAAAACUCUGUUAUUAGGGAAGAACAAAUGUGUAAGUAACUGUGCACGUCUUGACGGUACCUAAUCAGAAAGCCACGGCUAACUACGUG